GGCCUGCUCGGACAGGCAGCCAGCCUCUCGUUCGCAUCGAGGGGGUCAGGGGUUCAAAUCCCCUCAGCUCCA
RNAcentral lists this transfer RNA (72 nucleotides) under Micromonospora saelicesensis. RNAcentral's name for it is "tRNA-Ala". RNAcentral also lists the same sequence under 1 other name. The record is from RNAcentral. Lineage: Bacteria; Bacillati; Actinomycetota; Actinomycetes; Micromonosporales; Micromonosporaceae.